This 219-nucleotide ribosomal RNA is filed under the name uncultured bacterium. Its description in RNAcentral is "partial 16S ribosomal RNA". It matches the Rfam family "Bacterial small subunit ribosomal RNA", at positions 15 to 225 of the family's 1533-position model. The record is from RNAcentral.
GAUCAUGGCUCAGGAUGAACGCUAGCUACAGGCUUAACACAUGCAAGUCGAGGGGCAGCAUGGUCUUAGCCUGCUAAGGCCGAUGGCGACCGGCGCACGGGUGAGUAACACGCAUCCAACCUGCCGUCUACUCUUGGGCAGCCUUCUGAAAGGAAGAUUAAUACAAGAUGGCAUCAUGAGUCCGCAUGUUCACAUGAUUAAAGGUAUUCCGGUAGACGA